AACAUCGCGCACCUGCGGGAACCUGCGGAAGGAUCAUUAUCGAGUGUAAUCUACCCCUUUAAAAAAGGGUAGUACCUCCCGUCCUUUGCAGGCCUCUUUUUUUAUUAGGGGGGGCUUUUUAAGACUUUCUGCUUCGGCGGGGUUACUCCCGCCGGAACACCCUCAAAAAAUUCUCGAAAAAAAUCGUUCAGUCCGAGAACUUUUUAAAAAUAAAAUAAAACUUUUAACAAUGGAUCUCAG
RNAcentral lists this unclassified non-coding RNA (240 nucleotides) under soil metagenome. RNAcentral's name for it is "partial contains 5.8S ribosomal RNA, internal transcribed spacer 2, and large subunit ribosomal RNA". The record is from RNAcentral.